CCUGAAGGUCCAGCGAGUGGGGUUGGUAUCAAUGUGUAGGCCUAGUGGAUCCACACCGUGACCUAGUGCACUGGACCCUGUUGAUAUGCAGCCACCUCAGCUUCAUGAAGAAACGGCAAGAUUCAGAUGACUACACCGUUUCAGAUCUACUCAUCUCGCUCACCUGUCCACCUGGAUGAAGGAUCACACUCUGCAGCUGAACAUGUCCAAAACCAAGCUCCCAAUCAAAUUGUUCUAGGUUAAUCUCUAACAACAACCUUUUUCUUCACGCAUUGUGCCUUGCUGAUUUUGUUUGUUUGCACAUGUGACUGAGGUAGCCUGGUUUUACCAGACCACAUUAAUUGCUUCGUAAGUAAUUUUAGGUCUGGAUCCUUCGUGUCCUUGAGCACCAGGGCGGGAGAAGUGAGCUCAGCUCUGAUUUGAAAUGAGCUCUGUCCAAUCGCUGACAAUUGACGUAUGUUAUUCUGCCAAGUGCAUUCACGCCGGUUGUCAGUGUUGCCAGAUGUACGAUAAUUUAUACCAUAAUUUUGUUCUUCUGCCGGUCAGGUAGCUUAUGUCACACUUAGUAUACAAAGCUUGACAUGGUACCGUUAUAGUCCCAAGAUGGAGCAAACAACACAGGUGUUGACAUUAUAUAGCAUGGGCAACUUAUGAUGAGGAGGGCCAUGUUUUUUUCAGCACCAGCAUCAGGGGUUCACAUGACCACGGAUCUGACUCCAAUUUACAGAGUUGGUUGUUCUCUAACUGUCCAUAUUGUUUGGAAGGAAUAUAAUACUCUACCUGUAUACUCAAUACUCUAUUGGGCAGUCAUGGGUAAGCAGUUAGGGUGUCAGACUUGUAGCCCAAAAGUUGCCGGUUCAACUCCCGACCCGCCAGGUUGGUGGGGGGAGUAAUAAACCAGUGCUCGCCCCCAUCCUCCUCCAUGACUGAGUUACCCUGAGCAUGGUACCGUCCCGCCUUGCUUCUUUGGGGCACCAUUGAGGGCUGCCCCCUUGCACGGAUGAGACAUGAAUGCACUUUCGUAGUGUGCAGUGUUCACUUGCGUGCUGUGUCACAAUGACAAUGUGAGUUGGAGUUUCCCAAUUGGGCUUUCACUUUCACGCUUUCACUCUAUUGGCCCACAGUAUAAUUACAACAGAUUGAUUCAGUAAUCGUGUUUAAAAAAUAUGGUCAUUAUUUUCUUAAUUAGGCCUACUGUUUUAUCUAUAGGGCGCAUUGAGUGAGGAGGCGGGCUGCAUGUGGCCCCCGGGCAUCCAUUUGCCCAUCCCUGUUGUAGAGUGAAC
Engraulis encrasicolus (European anchovy) is the source of this 1283-nucleotide long non-coding RNA. RefSeq lists it as uncharacterized. The record is from RefSeq and is a predicted model, not a curated record. Lineage: Eukaryota; Metazoa; Chordata; Actinopteri; Clupeiformes; Engraulidae. The transcript is spliced from 3 exons.